UCCUCAGCUCUUCCCAGGAGGGUGGCAUGGUUGCCCCUGUGGUGGUCCUCCUUGGCUCCUCGUACUCUGCGGCCUCUGAAUGUCUGGGGCCUGGAUCUCCUCCAUACCUGCUUUAUGCCCUGGGGGACGGGGCUAUGGCUCCCCACACUCCCUAGCAGAUUGUUACAUGGAGAAACCUUUUGAAUACAAGCAUGCUGAUCCACACAGGUGUACACACAGGUGUACACACAGGUGUACACACCGGUGUUCACAGACACAAACUACACAUUUCUUGGCUGCUAUCUCAAAGCACAUUGGGCGCUGCCGAUCUUGUGUGCUGCACAAUAACAUGUAAUAUUUAGCAUCUACUGUUAGCUAGUUUAUUGUGAUGGUGUUGUAUUUGUUAUGUUGCUCUUUCCUGUUUGUUUUCUCUUCUGUUUUUUUUUAUCUCCAUACAGUUGAUCCAGGUGUUUUGUGUGUUUUCUUUUUUUUCUCAUCUCCCCUCUAUUUUUCUUUCUCUCCCUCUCUUUCUUUCAUUCUUUCUCCCUGUCCUAUCCCCCAGUCAUAUCUGUCCCAUCUGUAACAACUGAAAAUAAAAUAAAAUAAAUACAUAAUUAUAAUAAAGGUCAAUCAAAUGGACCAAUAUGGCAAGGCCAUGAUGAUCCACUUGGUAAAGUAAAUCCGCUUGGCAUCUUUCUUGGCCUUCAGACAACAAUUCUGACGGCUAAAGAUCCAAACGCGACAGGCACAAAAAAAAAAAAAAAAAACUAAUAGAGAAAGCAGAUCAAGGAUUAUUGGUUAAUCAUUAACCAAUAAUCCUUGAUCUGCUUCCAGUAGGAGAGAAGCUGCAGAGAGGUGUGUAAGACUGCAACUGUGCUUCCUGGUCCCAACUCUGGAUAGUCAUAUUUUGGGGGGUUUAAUAAAUUUGUCCAUAUUCCUAGAAAUGGUAAAUGGUAAAUGGACUGGUUCUUAUAUAGCGCUUUUCUACUCUUCUGAGCACUCAAAGCGCUUUACACAACUUGUGCAUUCACCCAUUCACACCCAUUCGCACAAGCACAUUGUUCUAGGUGCUUUCUAAGUAACAUUCACACACAUUCAUACUCCGAUGGAUGCAUCGGAGAGCAAUUUGGGGUUAAUAUCUUGCCCAAGGAUAUUUGGCAUGCAGACUGGGGGAAGCCAGGAAUCGAACCACCAAUCUUCCGAUCAGCAGAUGACCUGCUCUACCGCCUGAGCUACAGC
Molecule: long non-coding RNA, 1218 nt
Organism: Astatotilapia calliptera (eastern happy)
Lineage: Eukaryota; Metazoa; Chordata; Actinopteri; Cichliformes; Cichlidae
Source: Ensembl